UCAGAUUGAACGCUGGCGGCAGGCUUAACACAUGCAAGUCGAGCGGUAGCAGGUCCUUCGGGAUGCUGACGAGCGGCGGACGGGUGAGUAAUGCAUAGGAAACUGCCCAGUAGUGGGGGAUAGCCCGGGGAAACCCGGAUUAAUACCGCGUACGCCCUUCGGGGGAAAGCAGGGGCUCUUCGGACCUUGCGCUAUUGGAUGUGCCUAUGUCGGAUUAGCUAGUUGGUGGGGUAAAGGCCUACCAAGGCGACGAUCCGUAGCUGGUCUGAGAGGAUGAUCAGCCACAUCGGGACUGAGACACGGCCCGAACUCCUACGGGAGGCAGCAGUGGGGAAUAUUGGACGAUGGGGGCAACCCUGAUCCAGCCAUGCCGCGUGUGUGAAGAAGGCUUUCGGGUUGUAAAGCACUUUCAGUGGGGAGGAAGGCUCAAAGGUUAAUACCCUUUGGGAUUGACGUUACUCACAGAAGAAGCACCGGCUAACUCCGUGCCAGCAGCCGCGGUAAUACGGAGGGUGCAAGCGUUAAUCGGAAUUACUGGGCGUAAAGCGCGCGUAGGUGGUUUGAUAAGCGAGAUGUGAAAG
Molecule: ribosomal RNA, 581 nt
Filed under: uncultured bacterium
Lineage: Bacteria
Description: bacterial SSU rRNA
Rfam family: Bacterial small subunit ribosomal RNA
Source: RNAcentral